This 692-nucleotide ribosomal RNA is filed under the name Thanatephorus cucumeris. Its description in RNAcentral is "eukaryotic LSU rRNA". The stretch from base 249 to 402 matches the Rfam family "5.8S ribosomal RNA". The record is from RNAcentral. Lineage: Eukaryota; Fungi; Basidiomycota; Agaricomycetes; Cantharellales; Ceratobasidiaceae.
UCCGUAGGUGAACCUGCGGAAGGAUCAUUAUUGAAUUUAAUGAGGGGAUAUUUGGUUGUAGCUGGCUCAUGAAUUUGGGCAUGUGCACACCUAUCUCUUUCAUCCACACACACCUGUGCACUUGUGAGGCAGAUGGGGAAUUUAUUGAUUGUUUUUUAAGAACAAUUGGUGCUGGACCCUCUGUCUACUCAAUAUAGAAACUCAAUUUAUUUAGAAAUGAAUGUAAUGGAUGUAACGCAUCUAAUACUAAGUUUCAACAACGGAUCUCUUGGCUCUCGCAUCGAUGAAGAACGCAGCGAAAUGCGAUAAGUAAUGUGAAUUGCAGAAUUCAGUGAAUCAUCGAAUCUUUGAACGCACCUUGCGCUCCUUGGUAUUCCUUGGAGCAUGCCUGUUUGAGUAUCAUGAAAUCUUCAAAGUAAAUCUUUUGUUAACUCAAUUGGUUCUACUUUGGUAUUGGAGGUCUUUGCAGCUUCACACCUGCUCCUCUUCGUUCAUUAGCUGGAUCUCAGUGUUAUGCUUGGUUCCACUCAGCGUGAUAAGUUAUCUAUCGCUGAGGACACUGUAACAGGUGGCCAAGGGAAAUGCAGAUGAACCGCUUCUAAUAGUCCAUUGACUUGGACACUAUUUUUAUGAUCUGAUCUCAAAUCAGGUAGGACUACCCGCUGAACUUAAGCAUAUCAAUAAGCGGAGGA